AACGGUCCUACCAUGCUGAAUAUACCGGUUCUCGUUAGAUCACCGAAGUCAAGCGACAUUGGGCGCGGUCAGUACUUGGGUGGGUGACCACCUGGGAACACCGCGUGCCGUU
This 112-nucleotide ribosomal RNA is filed under the name Caerostris darwini. Lineage: Eukaryota; Metazoa; Arthropoda; Arachnida; Araneae; Araneidae. The record is from RNAcentral.